AAUGAAUUGCCUGAUUAAAGGAUUACCUUGAUAGGGUAAAUUAUGUAAUAAUGUUACAUUCAUUA
This 65-nucleotide transfer RNA is filed under the name Janthinomyia sp. PH-2020. Its description in RNAcentral is "tRNA-Ile". Lineage: Eukaryota; Metazoa; Arthropoda; Insecta; Diptera; Tachinidae. The record is from RNAcentral.